CAGGUUUUUAUGGGAGAGGAAGAAGUGGGGAGUAUGAAGACCCCAGGAAAAGAGUUUUUAAAGAGGAGGAGAUCCAAUUUCACACCUUUGAGUAGUCCAGCUCUGGAAUCCAGUACAGGAUUUUUGGAAGAUUCACCAAGAUCCAUCUUUCCUUUUCCUGCUAUUCUUUCCAAAUAGGUAAAGAAGUAGCUGAGGGAAACGCAGCUUUGUGAGGGAAGCCUGGAGCGUGAGAAAUCUGCUCACACUGGAUUCUGCCUCGGGCUCGACAGAAUGUCACAGCAGACCCGCGAUGUGACAGGCUCACUGGUGUACACACGGCUGUGUCGGCCAUGGCCCUGUCAGGCAACACACUGGUUUGGCAUCUAGCGGGUUGUGCUUGCAGAACAGCAGGCUGGCUCCGUGCACCUGCUCAGUGGGGCUGGGCUUUAGCAACCUGCAUUGAGGCUGCUCUUCUUAACUUUUCUCUAACUUGCUUCAUGAAAGUUAAUUCUGCUGGGACCCCACGAGGCAGCGGAGAGCCCACUCUGCCCAUGAUUGGUGCCCUGGGCUGGCACGCAGAGUUUAAUGGAGGAGCCCGGGAGAGAGGGAUGCCUGAGAACCAGGGAUGUGGGCUGGAGCAGUGCCACCUCCUCUAACUCACCCGCAAGCCCAGCCAACCGGCUAAACCUUCCCCACAGAGCCUCAGUCUCCUUAUCUGUAAAAUGGGUUACCUGGCACUUGUCCAGUCUUUCUGCAGUCAACAUCGCCCAGAUUCCAUGCAGAACCCUUUGCAGACUCCUGAGGAGGUACAGACAAGGAGUGUCCCUGUCCUCAUGGUGCUACAUGAAAAGGGAUCAGGACAGCAUAGUGUGUCCUCUGUCUUGAGAAGUUCGCAUCCAGCUCUGCCAUGGACCAGCCAUGCUCAUGGGUUGCCUCUCAUUUUGCUACGGACAGGAGACAGGAAAAUACUGGGUAGAAGAGGGCGGUUCCCGACAAAGGCCCCAACCUCAAGCCUGAAGACCCACGACCCUAAAUGAGGACAGCCAUUUCUGAUUUUGUGCCCAAAAAUUUGCCUUUUGGCCUGCCACACCCAACAUCUUGCCCCUAUAUAAACCCGAGACCUUAGCGGGCACACACACAAUCAGCCAAAUGUUGGGAUUAGCAGACCAGUGGACCAGCGGACCAGCAGACCAGUUAACGGUGGAACAA
This 1188-nucleotide long non-coding RNA is filed under the name Homo sapiens (human). RNAcentral's name for it is "HSALNT0115880". Lineage: Eukaryota; Metazoa; Chordata; Mammalia; Primates; Hominidae. The record is from RNAcentral.